AUACUUUUAUUGCAAUACACCCCUUUAGGUCUAAAAAAAACUAUUAAAAUCCUCUUCACCUUCUUUCAUUUCUUCAACAAAAACCCAACCCAAAUUUCACCUUCCUCCGUCACCUAUCCCUGCCCUCGCCGGAACACCGCCAUCAACCACUCCCCACCGCUCUUCAUCUUCGGCAUCCGCAUAGCCCACGCUCUCCAUUUUUCGCUAUCCUCGUAGCGCCCCAGAUCUGCAGCCGGUCAUCUUCUCCGACCUUCUUCCCUGGUCUGCGGCAGGUCUUAUUCCGUUUUCGAACGGUCACCCAGUCCGCUCAUUUCCUCAGCAACCGCGCUCCGCCACCUCCGGUCAUCACUAUCCUGGUACAAUGGGCACCAAAAGACAGCGACCAACUAAUAAGGUCAGUACUUUCCGAGCUCCUGCCCCUGCUGCUGUUAAUGUUCCCGCGCCUCCUCCUGAUUUGGUUGACAUAGUAGCACGUUUGGACCGUAUCGAGGCGCGCCAGCAGCGUAUUGAGGCAAGCCAGCAACGUAUUGAAGCAAGCCAAGAGCGUAUUGAGACUGCCGUCCACCAGCGCUUUGAUGAGCUCUUCCGCAUUAUGGAUGGUCAAAUCCCCCAACCUCCAACUCAGUAAUUCGUCGUUUUUUUAGUUUGUGUGGAUGUCAGGGAAGUGUCUUUCAUUUUAUUUUAGAUGAUGGUUCUAGUUUUUGCUACUUGUUAACAAUGAGGACAAUGUUUGGUUGAAAUGUAGGUGGCGUACCAAUUAUAUCAAAAUUUGCCAAUUCAGUUUAUAUGCACUACAAUUGGGAAAUGUGAGUAAUUGGGUAAAAGAUAUGGCUGAAUUGUUGGCUUGACUAUUAAGCUGAUAUUAAGAUCUUUAGAAAAUUAGAAGGGUACUUCAUUGCUUAUGGGUGAUUGUCUUGCUAACUGAUAUCUUUGUAGUUGGAAAUGGCAGGAUGGGAUCCUAGUUGAAGUUUAGCCGUGUUUGCUUGCA
Trifolium pratense (red clover) is the source of this 988-nucleotide long non-coding RNA. RefSeq lists it as uncharacterized. Lineage: Eukaryota; Viridiplantae; Streptophyta; Magnoliopsida; Fabales; Fabaceae. The transcript has 2 exons. The record is from RefSeq and is a predicted model, not a curated record.